This 425-nucleotide ribosomal RNA is filed under the name uncultured bacterium. RNAcentral describes it as "partial 16S ribosomal RNA". It matches the Rfam family "Bacterial small subunit ribosomal RNA", at positions 354 to 796 of the family's 1533-position model. The record is from RNAcentral.
GUGGGGAAUCUUGCGCAAUGGGCGAAAGCCUGACGCAGCCAUGCCGCGUGAAUGAUGAAGGUCUUAGGAUUGUAAAAUUCUUUUACCGGGGACGAUAAUGACGGUACCCGGAGAAGAAGCUCCGGCUAACUUCGUGCCAGCAGCCGCGGUAAUACGAAGGGGGCUAGCGUUGCUCGGAAUUACUGGGCGGAGAGGGCGGGUAGGCGGACAGCUAAGUCAGAGGGGAAAGCCCAGGGCUUAACCCUGGAAUUGCGUUUGAAACUACAAGACUGGAAUUCGGGAGAGGAUAGCGGAAUUGUCAGUGUAGCAGUGAAAUGCGUAGAUAUUGACAGGAACACCAGGGGCGCAAGCGGCUAUCUGGACCGAUAUUGACGCUGAGGCACGAAAGCGUGGGGAGCAAACAGGAUUAGAAACCCCGGUAGUCC